UUAGAUAUUCCAGUACAACAAAUAUCCGCCAGGGGACUACGAGCGCCAGCUUAAAACCCAAAGGACUUGGCGGUGCUUCAGACCCCCCUAGAGGAGCCUGUUCUAGAACCGAUAACCCCCGUUCAACCUCACUACUCCUUGCUUUUCCCGCCUAUAUACCACCGUCGCCAGCUUACCCUGUGAAGGUACUACAGUAAGCAGAAUGAGUAAUACUCAAAACGUCAGGUCGAGGUGUAGCGUACGAAGUAGGAAGAAAUGGGCUACAUUAUCUGAUCCAGAUUAUUCACGGAAGGUUGUCUGAAACGACAAUCCGAAGGUGGAUUUAGCAGUAAAGGGGGAAUAGAGUGCCCCCUUGAAGCCGGCUCUGAAGCGCGCACACACCGCCCGUCACUCUCCCCAACAACCGCCUACACCAAGGUAAAUAACACAACAUCCGUCACAAGGGGAGGCAAGUCGUAACAUGGUAAGUGUACCGGAAGGUGCACUUGGAAUAA
RNAcentral lists this ribosomal RNA (494 nucleotides) under Alosa pseudoharengus (alewife). RNAcentral describes it as "partial small subunit ribosomal RNA". It matches the Rfam family "Bacterial small subunit ribosomal RNA", at positions 778 to 1533 of the family's 1533-position model. Lineage: Eukaryota; Metazoa; Chordata; Actinopteri; Clupeiformes; Clupeidae. The record is from RNAcentral.